GGGCUCGUGACCCGGUCUACCACCGGGAUGUUCAUAACCCUUUGUUGUCCGACUCUGUUGCCUCCGGGGCGACCCUGCCUUCGGGCGGGGGCUCCGGGUGGACACUUCAAACUCUUGCGUAACUUUGCAGUCUGAGUAAACUUAAUUAAUAAAUUAAAACUUUUAACAACGGAUCUCUUGGUUCUGGCAUCGAUGAAGAACGCAGCGAAAUGCGAUAAGUAAUGUGAAUUGCAGAAUUCAGUGAAUCAUCGAAUCUUUGAACGCACAUUGCGCCCCCUGGUAUUCCGGGGGGCAUGCCUGUUCGAGCGUCAUUUCACCACUCAAGCCUCGCUUGGUAUUGGGCAUCGCGGUCCGCCGCGUGCCUCAAAUCGACCGGCUGGGUCUUCUGUCCCCUAAGCGUUGUGGAAACUAUUCGCUAAAGGGUGUUCGGGAGGCUACGCCGUAAAACAACCCCAUUUCUAAGGUUGACCUCGGAUCAGGUAGGGAUACCCGCUGAACUUAAGCAUAKCAMAARUCSGRRGAAUCGUCAGUGC
This 533-nucleotide ribosomal RNA is filed under the name Cladosporium tenuissimum. RNAcentral's name for it is "eukaryotic LSU rRNA". Lineage: Eukaryota; Fungi; Ascomycota; Dothideomycetes; Cladosporiales; Cladosporiaceae. The record is from RNAcentral.